This 92-nucleotide non-coding RNA is filed under the name Agreia bicolorata. Its description in RNAcentral is "TPP sequence". It matches the Rfam family "TPP riboswitch aptamer (THI element)". From Rfam's summary of the family: Vitamin B(1) in its active form thiamin pyrophosphate (TPP) is an essential coenzyme that is synthesised by coupling of pyrimidine and thiazole moieties in bacteria. The previously detected thiamin-regulatory element, thi box was extended, resulting in a new, highly conserved RNA secondary structure, the THI element, which is widely distributed in eubacteria and also occurs in some archaea. Analysis of operon structures identified a large number of new candidate thiamin-regulated genes, mostly transporters, in various prokaryotic organisms. Lineage: Bacteria; Bacillati; Actinomycetota; Actinomycetes; Micrococcales; Microbacteriaceae. The record is from RNAcentral.
UUACGUGACACGGGGUGCCCAUCCGGGCUGAGAACACACCCGUCGAACCUGAUCUAGUUCGUACUAGCGAAGGGAUGUCGCGCUUAUGCGCA